GUGUGUGUGUGUGUAUGUUUGUGUUUUAGUAGGAUUUUCUUCUUUGUAAAUAUAUCUGAAUUAGCUUAAAUUCAAGGGGAAUUUGUUUGCAAAAAUUUUUUUGACUACUUGCCUUUAGUUCCCCCUUACCUGGAACUUUCCUCCCAAAUCCCAGCAUUCUUAGCAGAUCUAGACUCUGAUCUGUUUCUUCUGCCCAGCGAAACUGACACUCUGUGCUUGAGCUCUAUUUUCCUGUGCAAGAAUUGGAUGAUAACUUCAGCUCCACAAUAACCAGAAAAGCCAACAACCUCACAGUCAUAAGUGCAAAAAAAAGCAGUCCAGUAACCACUAGAGAGGACAAAAUGGUGUUGAAGCAUCCCAAGAAAGUGCCAUUUGCAGUGAUUUUUAUUACUGGGCCUGUCUGGAAGCUCCCUGAAAGUCUCCAUUCACAGAAAUUAUCUUCAUUUGACCUCCUGCAGAAUCCACUCAGUGCAAACAGCCUUUUUCCUGGAGCACUUGUCAAAAACUUUCAGUGGCAAUUGCAUAACAUUGUAGUUGCCUGAGGUGGUGUCUUAGACUGUUCAUGUUGCUGUAACAAAAAUGUUCAUACUAGUGGCUUAUAAACAACAGAAAUUUA
Carlito syrichta (Philippine tarsier) is the source of this 616-nucleotide long non-coding RNA. RefSeq lists it as uncharacterized. The record is from RefSeq and is a predicted model, not a curated record. Lineage: Eukaryota; Metazoa; Chordata; Mammalia; Primates; Tarsiidae. The transcript is spliced from 2 exons.